This 269-nucleotide ribosomal RNA is filed under the name uncultured bacterium. RNAcentral describes it as "partial 16S ribosomal RNA". It matches the Rfam family "Bacterial small subunit ribosomal RNA", at positions 86 to 354 of the family's 1533-position model. The record is from RNAcentral.
CGUCGGCGACCGGCGCACGGGUGAGUAACACGUAUGCAACCUGCCCCUGUCAGGGGGACAACCCGCCGAAAGGCGGGCUAAACCCGCGUACAUGCCAUCGGGGCAUCCCGGAGGCAGGAAAGGCUUCGGCCGGACAGGGAUGGGCAUGCGGCGCAUUAGGCAGUAGGCGGGGUAACGGCCCACCUAACCGACGAUGCGUAGGGGUUCUGAGAGGAAGGUCCCCCACACUGGUACUGAGACACGGACCAGACUCCUACGGAAGGCAGCAG